CACGGUACAGGUCUUCGGAUGCUGACGAGUGGCGAACGGGUGAGUAAUACAUCGGAACGUGCCCGAUCGUGGGGGAUAACGGAGCGAAAGCUUUGCUAAUACCGCAUACGAUCUACGGAUGAAAGCAGGGGACCGCAAGGCCUUGCGCGGACGGAGCGGCCGAUGGCAGAUUAGGUAGUUGGUGGGAUAAAAGCUUACCAAGCCGACGAUCUGUAGCUGGUCUGAGAGGACGACCAGCCACACUGGGACUGAGACACGGCCCAGACUCCUACGGGAGGCAGCAGUGGGGAAUUUUGGACAAUGGGCGAAAGCCUGAUCCAGCCAUGCCGCGUGCAGGAUGAAGGCCUUCGGGUUGUAAACUGCUUUUGUACGGAACGAAAAGACUCCUUCUAAUAAGGGGGUCCAUGACGGUACCGUAAGAUAAGCACCGGCUAACUACGUGCCAGCAGCCGCGGUAAUACGUAGGGUGCAGCGUUAUCGGAUUACUGGCGUAAGCGUGCGCAGGCGGUUAUAUAGACAGAUGUGAAUCCCCGGGCUCACCUGGACUGCAUUUGUGACUGUAUAGCUAGAGUACGGUAG
Molecule: ribosomal RNA, 579 nt
Filed under: Acidovorax sp. Rud10
Lineage: Bacteria; Pseudomonadati; Pseudomonadota; Betaproteobacteria; Burkholderiales; Comamonadaceae
Description: bacterial SSU rRNA
Rfam family: Bacterial small subunit ribosomal RNA
Source: RNAcentral